CUGACGUUCCUCCUUCCUCUGGCGUUCCACUUGGGACGUUUGGCCAGAGCUGGUUGUAGUGCUACAGGUCCGCGUCUCCCCGGAGCAGAGGUUUCAGCAUGUGCGGCGGGAGUGCAGCUUCCUGUCAAGAGGACUCAAGAGGGGAAAGAGGAGGCCUGGAGUGGACACCAGAAAAGGACAAUGGCCAAUAAAGUGAGCUAUCAGCCUGACAACCUCCUCCAUUAAGGGGGGCCCUGGGAGCUAGCCCGUGGUGAAACUGCCGACCUGGCAGGCAUGGAUGAUGUGGAUGUCCAGGACCAUGCAGCCAGAGGUAGCUGGCUUGAAAUGAAGCAGGGGAUGAACUCUGCAGGGGGGAAUCCCCAGAUCCAGGGCUGCCCACUGUCUUUGGUCCCACUCCCAGGCCUGGAAUCUUCCACCAAGGCUCCUCCCAGGCCAAGGCCCAGGCUUCCCUGGAGACUUCCGCCCCAUUUCCUGAAGCCUCACCUCUGGGAGGAGGAGGAAGUCCACCAGGCAGCAACUCCUCUGCCUCCUCCUGUCCGCCUUUGCCCCGGGGGAAGGGAGGGAGACACUGCGGACAGCAAACCCCCGACCCAGAGAACUCCAUCCCCGCUCCGUCGCCUCUUCUGGGGCCUAGAGACCCAGACCUGCCUUUCCACCAGUCAGAAAACAAAAGAUGAAAAAAGUCUGGAUGCAAGAGUGAAAUACUGGGUCAUGAAUAUGGUGCCUUUUUCUUGCUUACACCCGCGAGCACAGGAGAGCGGAUGCCAGUGACAUUUGUUUUCUGCUCCGCGCCGGGCACAGGUAAGCCACCAGGGGCGUCUUUCCUAACGAGGAAGAAAAAUGUCAGAACGGCGAUCAGCCUCGUUGCACCCAACAGACUUGAAAAUGAGCAAAAAUAACAGGAAAAUUCACUUUGCAUAGGCUGGCUGUCCAUCGUCCCCAGAUUAGGAGAGUGGGAUUUUCUUUGUGCCAUGCUGAGUUCUGCUACGAGGUGCCCCCACAAGUGGACACACCUCAGAGAGGGGACAUUCAUUCUGGGAAUGACUGUAUUCCAUUUAAAACCGGAGCUGAAGUCGAAGGCUGGGUCCAUGUCUGGUCCUCCUGGUCCUCCUGCUGUCUGAGGUCUGCAUGCCCAGCCCCAUCUGGGAGGCCCCACCUUCCAUUUGAGGUUAUACGUCUUCUGUGUGUGGGGGCAUGGGGCAAAGUCCACUUACUAACAACAACUUUCUGUGAUCUCACAUCACCCUUCAGCGAGCCUGUGAGAUAGGACUGUCACCCCUAUUAACAGAAGAGGAAACUGAGGCUUACAUGGGCCUCUCCACUGUGCUGUACAAGCUCCCUAUCUCUUCUGUCAAGAGCAGACACUAGAUCCUUCAUUACUGUAUUCCCCCAGAGCCCGGCCCAGAGCCUGCACAUGUGGCCCUGGGUGCAUUCUGUCAAAUGACUGAGUGAGUUGGGGUGGCGGGGUCUUGCCCCUACCGGGACCGAGUGCUCUGAGCGCAGGCGCCUUGCCACGCGUGGCUCAUGUAGGCUGGGCACACGGCAGGAGCUCCCGGCGGGGCCUGGUGGGGGCGAGCGGUGCUGCAGGAGCAGGGAAGCUCUCCUCGCUGAUUCCAGGCCAGAGCGGCAGAAAGAUGAAAGGAGGCGAACGAGGAAGUCCUUCAAGUAAUAAAUGAAAGUAACCCUGAUUGGCCUCAUUUAGAGCAGUUCAGAGAAGGAAGAGCCGAGAACCACAUGCAGCCCGUCUCCAGGGCCCAGCCCCGCCCUCCUCGAGUGGCGCAGACGACUGUGGUGGGGCUGUUGGGUGCCAUGGCACUGGACUGCCUGGGAGAGGUGCGUGGUACCCCGCCGUCCUCCUUCAUAGCCAAGGAAGCAGGAGGGACAUCUGCAGAGGACACCAAGAGAAGGUGAGCCUGUGAGAGAUGAUGGCCAGCACAAGGAGAGACAGAACGAGGCCACUGAGGUGGAGAGGUCCCACCAGAGGCACAGGGAGCUGAAUGUGUCCCCUCUGCACGGCCCCACCUGCUCCAUGCACCUCCCCUCGGGCUUCCCCACAGGGACGCAUCACUCUGCCCUCUGGGUGGGUUUGAGGCUGGGGCCAGCAGCAGACUGGGGCUGGAUGACAGUGGCUGGGUGGCCAUGCCCCAGGCUCCUCCUCCCGAGGUCCCCACUCCUGCCAGGUGGUGCUUUCCGCACAGCCACAUUGGCUGCAGAGUCAGGUAGCCCCUCCUCGCCUGGCCCCGCAGCCCAGGAGCAGGAACAGCCCCACUGCUAUUGGCCUCGAGGGGCUGCCCUCCUCCGUGAGUACCCCUUCAUCAAAAUCUCCCGAAUGGGCAUGCCCCCUGCUGCUCGCCAGGCCCUGGCGAUAUAAGGACGUCCUGGGCUUCUAACUUUGAGGUGCAGAGGGACCCUGCUGUGGAGGAGAGAGGCCCUUGCCUCUGAUGUGGGAGGCCUGUACUUCCCAAAGUCAGAGAGCCAGGCGGGCAGGGCAUCCUUGAGAGCAGACCGGGGCCUCUCCUGGAAGGCAGCAGCCGGCACAGGAGGACCCAGCCUCCUCCAUGCACCUGGGCACCCACGACUGGCUGUUUCACGAGUGUGUCUCUGGGCUCUGUUGCAGCUGUCCCCAGAGGACGGUCCUCAAGAUAAAUAAAGAAGCCUCCGCUGACUGUGCAUUCCAGUGUCCAGACUCCAGGGCCUAUUUUUAGAAUGUAGGACAACGUUCUCCCAGAAUAGACAAGACACACUAAUCCAGGAGGCAGGCCUGGGAGCGAUGAAGACAUCGAGUCUAGAGAUGAAUUAGUCGCGAGUAUAUUAUUUGAAGAAAUGUUGAACAGCUAGGCAAAUAUUUGAUCCCUUUGAAUUGGAGCUGGCGUUUUCACAGGCAGAGUGGCAGCGGCUGCCUGAGACGUCCCCUCCUCAAUGGUGUACCUGGCUGUCACGCCUGGUUCUGGAGGCCCCCCUUUUGCUACAUGCUGAGAAGUGGGGUGCCAGUUUUCCGGGCCCUGCAUGGCCAGUGGUUCCCUGGACACUGACAAAGAUUCCUUCCUCAACCAAAUUCAGCUCGGGCUCCCCUGAACUCCUUCUCAACUGGACUUCCACUUCUGGACUUGGUGACUGUCCCUGCAUCGUCCACUUUUAGGGAGAAUCCUGCUGAGUCGGUUUAGCCAGAACCCCCAACCCUCGACAUCUGAUCACCCUCGAAGCCUGGUUCCUCAUCCCAGAGCCCUCCAGGGGAUGUCUGACCCCUGGCCUGCCUUCAGCAAGAAUCCCGUUAGGUCAGUUCGGCCAGAAUCCCCGCACCCCUGACGUUUCCUCUUAGUAAUUCUCCAGCCACUGACCCCCAGCUACUCCUCGGCUGUAAUUCCCACUUCUCAUCUGUAUUCGGAGUUGAGUGGGAUCUCUCUCCUCCAGUUCAUGACCCCUUUGCAGUAGUCCCUACAUUUAUUUUGAUGAACCCCCUGAAUAAAAUCUGCCUGUCCUCAACGAGUGUCAGGAAUAAUUUUUUCUUCAACACCCACUCCCGCGCGGCUCAGGCUGCUAACCACCUCCGGGCCGAGGCACGCCAGCACCACAGGUUCAGCCCGGGCGGGUCCCCGUGAGCAAGCUAGUGCAUUGACACCUUCCACCGAGUGCUAGCAGCGUCCUCCCAGGUGCACAGGAAGGCAGCCCACCAGCUUCCCCAAGGCCAGCACUGCCACAUAGACGGCCCUGAGGGCCUCAGGGCAGGGGAGGGCAGAGAGAGGUCCCGCAUACAGUGGGGGGAGCUGCGACGCCAGCCUGCUCCCCAGGGCUCCACCACGGGUUGGCCUCGGCUGCUUCCAAGGAAGGGAUGGUUAUUUUGGAGGGGAAAUCAAGGAGAAGGGGCUGGGCCCUGGCUGUGAAUGUGUGCUGGAUGGAGCCAAGGGGAGCCGGGACUCCAGGCUGGAAAUGUGAACCAGAGGGCCUGGGGCAUAUUUGAAAUGCCUGGGGAGCUUCUGACAUAGACGAACCCCCACGCCAAGCUCAGACCUAUUGAAUGAAAUCUCUAGGUGGCGGCUUCAGCGUCCGCAUUUUUAAACUGUACACAGGUGGUUCUCCUGAGCAGCCACAAACAGAAGCACUGGCCUAGAAGGUCAUUGGGACCAAUCUUACCUAGAUCUUGAUGGUAGUGUGUCCACCUCUCUCUAAAAUACCGGUCACAUUUACCUGUCUAUUUAAACGUCUGUGAAGUCAUUAAUCGUGUCUUAUCCUUUGUGUCCCUGAAUCUAGUACAGUGCCGGACACUCACAUCAAUACAUCCAUGAAUGAAUCUGUAUUUUAACGUGGUCAUAAAACUACAGCGCUAAAAACACCCCUCGUGCCCAUUUAGUCAACAGGCCCCAUGCACACCCUGUACAGAUGGAGACAUCAAGACCCCGAGCAGAGCAGCUUCCCCCGGAAGUUCCCCCAGCCGAGAAUGCAGGCUGCAGGGCAGCCAUGGCCGUCGUUCUGCUCGCCUCAUUUUCAGUCUCUUUUCCAGGCUUUGUAAACCUGUACGUGUGAGGAGGGGUGCGCUCGGACUCAUGCCAUGGGCUGGGGCGCAUGGUCACUGCUCCCCAGUCCUCUCCUCAUAGGCAAACGCCGCUGUACGCUGGGCCUGUGUUCCAGGAACAGGUCUGGGCGUAAACUGAGCAUCGGCAAAGUGAGUCCAGUCCAUUCAACAAAUAUGUACCAGGGCCUGUUCCAGUGUCCGCAUUUAGGAUACGUCCGUGAACAAAAAGAAACACAUCCCCCCGGGGCUUACAUUCUAGCGGCAUGCGGUAGCCAGUCUCCAAAGACGGCAGCCGACGAUGCCACAGCCCCACACGCACCCUCCUUCCAUCAGCAGGGCCCUGAGUCUCCUCGCCUGGACCCGGGCCACCCUGCGACCAGCCUUGAGCGACAGCAUGCAGCAGGAGUGAGGCCGUGCUGGGUCUAGGCCUAGCCAUUAAGAGAACUGAUUUUGGUCUCUGGGAGCCCAGAGCACGAUGCAAGAAGUCCAGCCACCCUGCCCAGAAAGCAGCCCAGCCAGCCCUUGGCUGUGCCAGCCCCCCAGCCGAGGCACCGGACACAUAAGCAAUGCUAUCUGAUGUCCCAGCUCCAGUCAAGCUCCAGCUGAAGGCAGACACCUGAAGGACCCCAGUCAACAUCAUGUGCAACAGGACUGCCCACUGAGCCCAGCCACCCACGAGGUCCUUAGAAACCAUAAACUGCUAUUGCUUUAAGCCACUGAUUUAUGGGGUAUUGCUCCAACAGACAACUGAAACGUGAGGGGAGAAAGAUCAUAAACAGUAAGCGUGGGAAGUACGCUUCAUUAUCAGUCAUAUUAUCCAUUGUCAGUUAUCAGUGACUCCCAGGUCUUUGGCUUUAGACCCAUGAACACUCUCCCUCCCUUCUCUUGAGGGCACACCUCCCCAUCCUCAGGGCCUCCGCUGCCCAGCUCUCCUCUUGGCGGCAUGGUCAGAAGGUUGAAUAGUCGCCCAGGAGCACAGCCCCCAGACUUGCCCCAAAUCUCUCUGAUUGUCUGGUGCAGAGCAGGUGCUGGCUCUGUCAGAGGCCCUCCAUCAACCUCAGUCCACCCUGUAACUACCCUGCCAGGCCGCCUCUCCACAGGGGAAGGAGCAAGCGAUGAGGGCCUGAGACCGUGAACACACGAUUUGCUCACGCUCCCUGCUGCCUGCGCCAGCCUCACCUCCACUCCCUCACCUGGAAGGUAAGGCCUCCAGGGGCACAAGCUCCCCAGGCACUGUGUCAUGCUGGUCCCAUUGCCUCCUGCUCCUCCUUCUGCCCACUCACUCUUCUCGUGCUAACAGCAGACCAACUUUUCUCAGGGACCCACCCUCCCUCUCUGGUCCAUCGACUCCAUUCCCCCGUCUGGGGCAGGCUCCUUACCCAGAACACAUGGACCAAUCCAUGUAUUCUAACUGUCGCCAUGGUGAUUGGUUCAGGAAUGGGCACACAGCCAAAGCCAUGCAAUCAGAGCCGACCCCAGGACUCUGUGCUUCUAUCAAGAAGAAAACCCCCUCUUCCACCAGGAUUGCUCUUUGUGAGGAUAACGUGAGCCUAGAGCUGCCGGGGCCCCAACAGGAAGAUUGCUAGAGAAUGACACCAACGUGGUAGAAUGCAGAAGAGACCGAGACACAGACAGACAGACACAGACACAGACAGGGAGGGAGAUGAUGACAGCGUUCGAGCCCCUGGGUCCAGCAGUUCCAGAAGCAUGCUGAUCUUGUCGGCAGGAGUAACAUUUGCCAGAGGGAUUCAUCCUUUCAGGCAUAAAUGCCUCCUGUCUUUCUGAAGGGCUGAAGCGACACUCAAGGAAACCUAACAUACUCUGCUGACAGGUGCAUGAGCUGCUAACAAGGCCCAUUUACAGGUAAACAGAAGUCACUUUUAUCUGCCCACAUGUAGCAUGACAGGAAGAGGGGUGCUCAAGCCUUUUUUGGUUGUGACAGGAAACUGAUUUCAAUUGGCUUAAACAAACGGGGCACUUAUUGACCCACGUAUCCUGCUACAGAAAGGACAGGGGUGGUUCUGUCUUCAGGAACAGCUGGAUCUAGGGGCUAGAAAACUGUCUGGAUAGUCAUAGGCUUUCUCUUUUCUCUCUGCACGUGAGACUCAUUCUUCUCUGGUCUGGCUUUCUCUGCGUGUCAGGGAGCAUAGCUUCAGGCAGUCCCUGGCUUACCUCCUCAGAGCCCGGUAGCCAGAGAGAACAAAGUCUUUCCUCUCUAGAACCAGUUAGAAAAGUCCUGGGGAAGGAUUCUGAUGGGCCCAGCCUGGAUGGCUGGUCCACCCACGUGGCCAAGGUCAGAAUCUGUUAUCACAGGCAGGAAGACUGGUGCCAGCAGGCUCCAGGGGAGCACAGUGACUGGUCUUAACCGCAUCUACUUGGAGAGGGGGAGGGGAGGGUGGAGGUGGGGAGACUGUCUACACCGCAGUCAGCCUGAGGUCUAAUCAGACAGCAGUGCCCAGCGAAUGGGGCGCCCCGAGUCCCAGAACUGGGUUCCAGAGCGGCUAUCUUCCCACCAGGCUGGGGGACCGUGGCACAUCAGGUGGGGGGCGCCGCACCUGAGAGAAGGCUGGCUCGCCUUCGAAUGACACAGAGUGGAUGUCAUGGUGGCUUUGAUGGUGUUUAAUUAAAUAUUUGCCACAUUUAAUUAAUCAAAGCCUGAAAUGUGGUACCAGAUGUGACUUAGUGGACAUUACGUCUCAACAGCCCUUGGAAGGGAGCCCCGCAGGCUCGGCCUCCUGGGCCACCUGCGCAAGGGCUCCAGGAGACCCUUGGGGAGCGUCAUUAAUUAAUUAGUGACUGAGGCAGCACUGGGCUUUGCUGUUUCAGAAUGUCAUGCGUCACUCAGGCAGGGGUCUUCCUGUUGGGUCCCAGGGGAGUGGAUUAGGCAAGAGCCCAAUUCCUGGGUGGCAAAAUCUGUCCCAGACCUACACACACACCUACACGCACCUGCCACCUCCUCUAUCCAUAAAUAGUCCCUGUGCCCCAAAUUCCACCAAUAGAGAUUGCUUCCUUGGUUUCUGGCCACGUCCCCGCCCUUUGACCUGCCAUUACCCCAGGGGUUGGGAGCUCCUUGACAGCCUCCGAAGGGGGAAAGUGCUUCCUCCAAAUUGCCCAGCACAACAUGUGGCAACCUUCAGCCCCCUAAGUGUAGAGCUCAAGCACCCCUGCCACCCCCAUCCCCCAGCUAGGGUGGGGGCAGUCCUGAAGAAAGCCUCAGGGCCCAGCCCGCGGGAGGCGCAGGGCAGGUGGGCAGCUAGUUAUCCCCGGGCUGCAGGCACAGCUCUUCUGGGCCCAUCCAGGGUGGGAGGGCAGCGGCGGACACAAUGAGAUGCCAGGAUCUGCAGUCACAGUGACCUUUCCAGAAGCAAAUCUGAUGGUUUGGGGCGGCUGGGGGAUUCCCCACCACCCUCUUCAUCCAGGCUGCCCUGGCCCUGCUGCCCCCAGCAGUGCCAAGCAUCAUCCUGACUCCCCAGCCCCCAUCUCAAGAGUCUACAUUCCAGCUGCGCCAGCCUCCGGUCCGGUCCUGAAAGCACCAGGCCGAGUCCGCAUUCUUUGGCCCUCGGCACAUUCCCUUCCCUCUGCCCGACAUCCUUGACAGUCUCUCAGAUCUCACUGAAGAUGUCAGCUCCUCCAGGAAGUCCAGUUGCCUUGAGCGUGGAUUCCAGCAUGGGAGGGGUGGGUAGGCGGUCCCAGGCAGGGGCAGCCAGAUGCCACUAGGCUUCCCUGUCUAGCUUCUCGGCACAUCCCAUGCGCUCGUGGAACCACUACAGGUAUGGGAUGGAUGCCAGCGUCUCUCCCUCCUGUCUGACCCUAAGUGCAACCUCAUUUGGAGAUGGCAGUCCUUUGGCGACCCUGAGGCCUCGGUCAAGUGGCCCACAUGCUCCUUAUAGGGAUGGAAAACUGAGGCCAGAGCAAGGAAGAGGCCAGCUCAAACUGGCCUGGCAAACCAGGCUGCCCUCCCCCAGAAGUUCCUCCCCUCCCAUGCCGCUGAGCUCCGCACCCUCCUCCCAGCCCCCAGCCCUGGCACAAGCUGGCCUCGCGGGCUUCAGGAUCCAGCCAUCCCGACACCCUUGGGCACCCCCCAUCCGGUCUCCUCUGCCUUAUUCCCUGCCCUUUAUAAAUAUGCAUUGGGCCAGAGAGAUGGGGGGCCUCUUUUUGAGGGAAAAUUAACAACAGUGACAAACUUAGUUAUUCAUGCAAACCGUCAGCCCGUGAUCCCUGAUUAUGCAGGAUGCAAACUGUGCCUAUCUGAGCGACUGGGCGCCCUCAUCAAAGGCGCCCCCCGCAGCAGCCGGCCCACCUUGCCGCCGCCUUGUGCCCUCUCAGCGCCGGCACGGGCCAGUGGCGCCCCCUCCGCCAGCGCCUGCUCCUGACGCAGGGCCCCUCCACACUGGAGUUUAAAGGAUUAAUUAACCUUGUGGGAUUGGCGGGGAGAGCUCCACCUGGCUAUCUGCUGCAUGAAAGCAUCCGCUCGCCAGAGUAUUUUAAGCUCACAGUGCAGACCAUAUGGUAUUUCAAAGAACAGAAGCUGAAAGUACAGUACAUAUUUAUUCCUUCCACAGAGAGCAUUAAAGGGGUUUAAGUAUUUUAUUAAAGCCUAUACGAGCGGGCAUGUGUGUGUGCGUCUGUGUGUGUGUGCGAGGCAAGCGCAAAUAUACUUGACGCAUAGAAAAAAUAAAUGACACAGAUUUAUUUUCAUCUCUCUGCCAACCCACCCCAUAGCAACAGUGUAAACUUGAGAAAACAAGAAAUAUUUUAUCAAGUCGUCUCAACUCAUGGCUAUUGCCAAUUUUUCCUCUCUAUUUUGAAACGAUAGCAGUCUCCUUGGUGUCAGGCCUGCUGGCAGAAGGAAGAGUGGGGAGGCAGGUCUAAGAUGAUAAAGGGGCACACGGGCAGCCCAGGCCCCUUCAGGAGCUGCCCCCCACCCCCCACCCCGGCGAGGUGCUUAAUCUGUGCGAACCUCAGUGGCCUUCUCUCCAACGCUGACCUCUCAGGGCAGGGUAGGGAAUAAAAUGAGAAGGCGCUGGCAGCCUACCUGGAAGAGCCCUGGAUCUGGGAUUUCGAGGAAAACCUACUGUGGAAGUCGGUGGACUGCGCCCUUCCCAGCAGGCCGUCUCCCUCCUCCUGGGAACGGCCCUGCCCUCUCCUUGGGGCAGCCCCCUUUCUAUCUCUCAGCCCAGGUGAUGGGGUUCGAAUUAACUCCACUCCUCUCAUGACAGGCUGGCCAAUCAGAGCCCUGUGUCUCCCCAGCCUCAAUGACUGGUCCAGGGAUGGUCACGAGACCCGUGACAGAACAAUGGGGCUCAGUCCUGAGACUUUUGCUGGAAUGACUGGGAAGGACGCUCUCUUUCCCAGCAGACUUGCCAGGCCGGGAGCUUGGAGCUCAUUGCCAACCGAGUCUUGGGCAAAAACCUAGUGACAGGAGAGUCCAGGACAGAUGUGGACUCUGUCCAAACGACGGCUCGCCUCUCCUAAGCAGAAGAUAGAAAUUGAAAUUCUCAAAAUAAAUAAACAAAAAUUUUAAAGGAAAAAAAUACAGAGCAGGCAAGCUGGUCAGGUGCAGCUGCCCAAGGCUCUGACUAUCCUCUCUGGACAACGACGGAGGCUGGAUCCCAUGCAGAGAGGCCAGAGGUCUCAGGAAGGCCAGGCUGCCCCGCCCUGGGCACCUCAGGCUCUGCCUGCAGUCGGAGGCCUGCCCUGAGGGGGCAGCGGUGAGCCCACGCGGCCUCAGGAGCAGUGGGAGGGGCUUCCAGCCGGGGCUCUCCGCGCCCUGAUGCACAUCCCUUUUCACAGGAAGAGACUCUGUUGAGGAAACAGCUUAUAGUCUAGAAAUUCAACAAAUGCAAAUGCACACAGCACAGGUGUCAGAGCAUGGAUAGACUCUGAAAUUCUAGGUCUCCCCUCCCCCACCGCUCUGAUGAAAAAACUGAAUACCAGGAAGAUAAUAACUACCUUCCACCCAGCCUUUCUCCCACCUCGUAUUUACCAUCUUCAAGUCUUUCCUUUCAUAUAUGUAGGAGAGAAGAGAUUUUCUGGCCAUAAGAUGUAAAUGGGAAAGUGUAAUUUUCUCUAAUAUUCUAUAAGUGAGAAUUGAACCUCCAUUUUAUUUAUUUGUUUUUUUGUUUGUUUGUUGGUGAGGAAGAUUGGCCCUGAGCUAAGAUCUGUGCCAAUCUUCCCCUAUUUUGUAUAUGGGAUGCCAUCACAGCAUGGCUUGACAAGCAGUGUGUAGGUCUGUGCCUGGGAUCCAAACCUGCACACUCCAGGCUGCCAAAGCAGAGCUGUGAACCUGCCCCCUACACCACCUGACCGGCCCUGAACCUCCAUGUGACAUGAUGGCAAAAAAGUUAAUCUAGUUAGUUCCAGUUUCCUCAGACAGUGCUGUGUUCCGUCAUUUCAGAUCUAAACUCAGUCCACGGAGAUUUUCCUCCUCACCCUCUUCUCCAUCUGAGUUUUAGGGGCUAAGAGAGUCACGGCAUACAGGACACUGGCAGGGAGAGAGGUCUCCUUGGCCAUCCAGUGUCAUUCCUCAGCCGCUCUGCUCUGGUCAGAGCCAAUAAUGCUAUCUGACCAAUCCUCCUGUAGGUAAGAACCACAAAUUCCAACAGGAACUAAAGGCCCUGGGGAGAGACUAAAGGGCAGACACUGGGGAGAGUCUGCACCUACAGGAGGCAGCAGCACUGGGUACGGGCCCCUUCUUUAUGGGCUGAAGCUCUCCGCAGGCUCCAGUCUGCCCCACGAAGGGCAACUAAAACUUGGAGAGAAAAGUCCUACUGGCUUGAAGAACCAGGGGUCAGGGCGAUUACAGCAACUAAAAAGUGACUGAGGAAAUCCAAAAAAGAGAGAGCCAUAGAAGGGGAGGCUCCAAACCUGUGUAUAAAACGCCCAUCUCUUGCCAACCCCACCACAGAGGAGUGAGGCAGUCACUAAGCAGCCCUGCUAAAGCCAGAACUGAGCUGAGAUUUCAGCCAACGUCAUCUGCAGGGGAGAGAGUUUACAGCCUGAGUUUAACCAAGUUAUUUGCCUAGUAAAAUAAAAAUCAACAUCCUUCAGAGCAGUGUACUGAACCUAGAGUCUCUGUACUUGUCAUCAAAUGUCCAGGAUAAAAUCCAAAAUUAUCUGACAUGCGAAGACACAGGAAAACACAAUCCAACUCCAGAGAAAAGACAACCAGUGGGUACCAAACAGAAAGUGACCUUUGAUGUUGGAACGAGCAGACAAUCAUUUUAAGGCACCUAUUAUAACUAUGCAUAUGAACACAAAGGAAAAUAUGAUCAUAAUAAAUGAAAAGAUAAAUAUUCUCAGGAGAGAAACUAUAAGAAACAACAACAGUAAGAAAAAAUGAUGUCAUCCUCCUAUGUGUGGAAGGAAAUCCACUGGCUAUAGUUGAGACAUCUACACUUGCUGGCAGGAGCUGAGAAGGCCAUUUCUCCACUGAUCCACAGUUACCAGACCAUACCAGCCCCCCUUCAUCCUCCUCGGCCAGAAUAAGAGACACCAUCAAGUCUACAAGUCCUCUUUUGAGAAACACCUUCCCCCUCCUUGGGGCACAGGAAAACGUGACUGAAACCCACAAAAUCUGGGGCCAAAGGAGCCACACACACACACCCCCAAACCAAUACCCCUUCCGCAUGCAAAUGCAAGACUCCUAACAAUAUUUUCGCAAAUCCAAUCUAGAAAUAUACAAAAGAGAGUUUUAUCUCAGGAAUUCUAGGUUUGUUUAAAAUUCAAAAGUCAAUGGAUUCAUCCUUAUAACCAAAUGAAGGAGAAAUGCCACGUGAUCAUCUCACUGGGUGCAGAAAACACGUGAAAAAUUCAAUACCCAGUCAUAAUUGUAAAAGAAAAGAGACAAACUCAACAGAAAGAGAAUAGAAGGGAAGUUCCUCAAUCUGAGAAAAGAAUCUGUGAAAAGUCGACAUCUGAGGUCAUCCUUAACGGGAGAAGAACGAGUGCGCUCCUCCUAAGAUGAGGAAAACGGCAGAGAAGUUCCCUCUCACUGCUCACACCCAACGUCGUACCAGAAGUCCUGGCCAACGAAACAAGGCGGGGAAGACAUCAAAGACAUACAAAUCGGAAAAGAAGACCUAAAACUAACUUUAUUCACAGAACAUAUGAUCAUCUAUGUAGAAAAUCCCUAAGAAUAUACCAAAAAAAAAAAAAAAGGAUUAGAAACUGUAAUUUUAUAAUCAAAUUUAAAAUGGUAUUACAAAAGUGAAAUACUUAGGCAUGAAGCUAACAAAAUAUGUUUAAGAUGUGUAUGCGUAAAUAUAGAAAACCUUGUUGAAAGAAAUCAAAGACCUAAGUCAAUGGGAAUAUACCCCACGUUCAUGGAUCGGAAGACUCAAUGUUGUUAAGACAUCAAUUCUUUCCAAAUUGAUCCCAAUUGAUAUCCCAGCACGGGCUUUCUUGGUAGCAAAUGACAAGCUGAUUUUAAAUUGUAUAUAGAAACGCAAAAGUAAAGUCCAGAAAUAAAGCCAAACAUAGAUGGCCAAUUGAUUUUUGAUAAAUAUGCCAAGGUAAUUCAAUGGGGAAAGGAUAGUCUCUUCAACAAAUGGUGUUGGGACAACAGGAGAUCCAUAUGGAAAAAAACUGAUCUUUGAUUCUUACUUCAUACCACACAAAAAAUUAACUCAAAGUAGUUCACAGACCUAAACACAAAAAAUAACACUAUAGAAGUCCUAGAAGAAAAUAUUUGUGAC
Molecule: non-coding RNA, 13206 nt
Organism: Equus caballus (horse)
Lineage: Eukaryota; Metazoa; Chordata; Mammalia; Perissodactyla; Equidae
Source: RefSeq, a predicted model, not a curated record